Molecule: ribosomal RNA, 253 nt
Filed under: uncultured bacterium
Lineage: Bacteria
Description: partial 16S ribosomal RNA
Rfam family: Bacterial small subunit ribosomal RNA
Source: RNAcentral
UACAGAGGGUGCGAGCGUUAAUCGGAAUUACUGGGCGUAAAGCGCACGUAGGCGGCAUUGCAAGUCGGGUGUGAAAUCCCCGGGCUCAACCUGGGAACUGCAUCCGAGACUGCCUUGCUUGAGUAUGGGAGAGGGAAGCGGAAUUUCCGGUGUAGCGGUGAAAUGCGUAGAUAUCGGAAGGAACACCAGUGGCGAAAGCGGCUUCCUGGACCAAUACUGACGCUCAUGUGCGAAAGCGUGGGGAGCAAACAGG